Molecule: ribosomal RNA, 1842 nt
Filed under: Seculamonas ecuadoriensis
Lineage: Eukaryota; Jakobea; Jakobida; Moramonadidae
Description: SSU rRNA
Rfam family: Eukaryotic small subunit ribosomal RNA
Source: RNAcentral
AACCUGGUUGAUCCUGCCAGUGGUCAUAUGCUCUCUUCAAAGAUUAAGCCAUGCAUGUCUAGGAAUGAGGGAACUCACACACCGAAUCUGCGAACGGCUCAUUACAACAGUCAUAAUCUACUUGGCGAUUUGGACCGCAAGGUCUGCAGACGGAUAACCGUGCCAACAGCAGAGCUAACACGUGCACAAGGCUCCCGCGAGGGAGCGCAUUUGUUGGAUCCUCUCACACCAUCCGCGCCGCAAGGCGCGCGCAGGUGAUUCACAGCAACUGAGCGAACCGCACGAGGUGCCCGCAAGGGCGGCGGUGGACCAAUCGAGUCUCUGCCCUAUCAGCUUUCGUCGGUACGGUAUUGGCCUACCGAGGCGUCGACGGGUAACGGGGAAUUAGGGUUUGAUUCCGGAGAGGGAGCCUGAGAGAUGGCUACCACAUCCAAGGAAGGCAGCAGGCGCGCAAAUUGCCCAAUCCCGAUGCGGGGAGGCAGUGACGAGAAAUAACUGUUGGGGUCUUCGGAUUCCAAACGGGAAUGAGAACAACGCAAAACCCUUAUCGAGUAGCAACUGGAGGGCAAGUCUGGUGCCAGCAGCCGCGGUAACUCCAGCUCCAGUAGCGUAUACUAAAUCUGUUGCACUUAAAAAGCUCGUAGUCCGACUUGCGAGGGCACCCGCGACGAAGGCGCCGGCGAUUCAACGCCGCCGAGAGGCGGUGCGCCGGAGAAGCCCGCGCGGCGUCCCUCCUGGGCCCUGUGCGCGCGCGAGCGCGCACACGUUCCUGUGAGCAAAUCAGAGUGUUCCAAGCAGGCGUUUCGCGCCCCUGCAUGGUUUAGCAUGGAAUAACGAAGCGGGACUCUGGCCGCCCCGCUGUGUUGGUGCAGCCGGCCGGAGGACAUGGUUAAUAGGGAUAGUCGGGGGCAUUCGUAUUCCGGCGUCAGAGGUGAAAUUCUAGGAUUGCCGGAAGACGAACAACUGCGAAGGCAAUUGCCAAGGAUGUUCCCAUUGAUCAAGAACGAAGUCUAGGGGAUCGAAGACGAUUAGACACCGUCAUAGUCCUAGAGGUAAACGAUGCCGACUAGGGAUUGGAGAACGUUUGUUUUUCUAUAUCGACUCCUCCAGCACCUUGUGGGAAACCAAGAGUCUCUGGGUUGUGGGGGGAGUAUGGUCGCAAGGCUGAAACUUAAAAGAAUUGACGGAAGGGCACCACCAGGAGUGGAGCCUGCGGUUUAAUUUGACUCAACACGGGAAAACUCACCAGGUCCAGACAUAGGGAGGAUGGACAGAUUGAGAGCUCUUUCUAGAUUCUAUGGGUGGUGGUGCAUGGCCGUUCUUAGUUGGUGGAGUGAUUUGUCUGGUUAAUUCCGUUAACGAACGAGACCGAAAUCUGCUAACUAGCGGGGCGUUUUCCUCUGCGGAAACGCCUAGACUCAAACGCUUCUUAGAGAGAUUGCCGUUGACAAGGCGGCUGAAACUUUCGGCCAAAACAGGUCUGUGAUGCCCUUCGAUGUUCUGGCCACACGCGCGCUACACUGAUGGACGCAACGAGCGUGGCACCUGCGCCGAGAGGCCCGGGAAACCUUGCCAAAGUCCAUCGUGCUGGGGAUCGACCCUUGCAAUUGUGGGUCGUCAACGAGGAAUUCCUAGUAGGCGCGGGUCAUCAGCCCGCGCCGACUACGUCCCUGCCCUUUGUACACACCGCCCGUCGCUCCUACCGAUUGGAUGAUGCGGUGAAAUCUCAGGACCGCGGCCGUGCUCAUUCGUGACCUGCUGCGGGAAUUUGAUUAAACCUUACCAUCUAGAGGAAGGAGAAGUCGUAACAAGGUAUCCGUAGGUGAACCUGCAGAAGGAUAA